GAGUUUGAUCCUGGCUCAGGAUGAAUGCUGGCGGCGUGCCUAACACAUGCAAGUCGAGCGGCAGCGAGUUUUACACUGAAUUCUGGAAGCUUCUGGGUAAUAUAGAAGAUUUAUUCAAGAAUUUUGUGUAAAAUGUCGGCGAGCGGCGGACGGCUGAGUAACGCGUAGGAAUUUGCCCCAAAGUGAGGAAUAACUGCCCGAAAGGGUAGCUAAUGCCGCAUAUGGUCUUCGGAUUAAAGCCUUCGGGCGCUUUGGGAGAAGCCUGCGUUGGAUUAGGUAGUUGGUAGGGUAAUGGCCUACCAAGCCGACGAUCCAUAGCUGGUCUGAGAGGAUGAUCAGCCAGACUGGAACUGAGACACGGUCCAGACUCCUACGGGAGGCAGCAGUGAGGAAUCUUCCACAAUGGGCGAAAGCCUGAUGGAGCAACGCCGCGUGAAGGAUGAAGGCCUUCGGGUUGUAAACUUCUUUUAUGAGUGAAGAAUAUGACGGUAACUCAUGAAUAAGCACCGGCUAACUACGUGCCAGCAGCCGCGGUCAUACGUAGGGUGCAAGCAUUAUCCGGAGUGACUGGGCGUAAAGAGUUGCGUAGGCGGUUUAAUAAGUGAAUAGUGAAACCUGGUGGCUCAACCAUACAGACUAUUAUUCAAACUGUUAAACUCGAGAAUGGUAGAGGUAACUGGAAUUUCUAGUGUAGGAGUGAAAUCCGUAGAUAUUAGAAGGAACACCGAUGGCGUAGGCAGGUUACUGGGCCAUUUCUGACGCUAAGGCACGAAAGCGUGGGGAGCGAACCGGAUUAGAUACCCGGGUAGUCCACGCCGUAAACGAUGGAUACUAGCUGUUGGAGGUAUCGACCCCUUCAGGUAGCGAAGCUAACGCGUUAAGUAUCCCGCCUGUGGAGUACGGCCGCAAAGGCUAAAACAUAAAAGGAAAUUGACGGGGACCCGCACAAGCGGUGGAUUAUGUUCUUUAAAUUCGAUGAUAACCGAAGAAACCUUACCGAGGGCUUGACAUCCGAGGGAAAGGUUCUGCGAAAAGUAGACUGUGCCUUUUGGAAACCCUGUGACAGGUGAUGCAUGGCCGUCGUUCAGCUCGUGUCGUGAGAUGUUAGGUUAAGUUCCUUCGAACGAGCGCGAACCCUUGUGAAUAGUUGUAUUUUUCUAUUUCAGAACUGCCCCGGUGAACGGGGAGGAAAGGAGGGGAUGAAUGUCGAGGUCGAGUAUUUUCCCUUGACGUUCCUGGGCUAGAAACGUUAU
This 1253-nucleotide ribosomal RNA is filed under the name uncultured bacterium. RNAcentral's name for it is "bacterial SSU rRNA". It matches the Rfam family "Bacterial small subunit ribosomal RNA", at positions 9 to 1226 of the family's 1533-position model. The record is from RNAcentral.